CAGAUUGAACGCUGGCGGCAGGCCUAACACAUGCAAGUCGAGCGGCAGCACGGGUACUUGUACCUGGUGGCGAGCGGCGGACGGGUGAGUAAUGCCUAGGAAUCUGCCUGGUAGUGGGGGAUAACGCUCGGAAACGGACGCUAAUACCGCAUACGUCCUACGGGAGAAAGCAGGGGACCUUCGGGCCUUGCGCUAUCAGAUGAGCCUAGGUCGGAUUAGCUAGUUGGUGAGGUAAUGGCUCACCAAGGCGACGAUCCGUAACUGGUCUGAGAGGAUGAUCAGUCACACUGGAACUGAGACACGGUCCAGACUCCUACGGGAGGCAGCAGUGGGGAAUAUUGGACAAUGGGCGAAAGCCUGAUCCAGCCAUGCCGCGUGUGUGAAGAAGGUCUUCGGAUUGUAAAGCACUUUAAGUNNNAGGAAGGGCAGUAAAUUAAUACUUG
Molecule: ribosomal RNA, 443 nt
Filed under: Pseudomonas sp.
Lineage: Bacteria; Pseudomonadati; Pseudomonadota; Gammaproteobacteria; Pseudomonadales; Pseudomonadaceae
Description: bacterial SSU rRNA
Rfam family: Bacterial small subunit ribosomal RNA
Source: RNAcentral